ACUCCCGUUCUUGGCAGGCCCGGGCCCCCCUGUGCCCGGGCCUGUGAUGUCUGGAGGUAGAGCAGCGACUCUUUCACAGGC
Molecule: small nucleolar RNA, 81 nt
Filed under: Buceros rhinoceros silvestris
Lineage: Eukaryota; Metazoa; Chordata; Aves; Bucerotiformes; Bucerotidae
Description: Small nucleolar RNA SNORA57
Rfam family: Small nucleolar RNA SNORA57
About the family: U99 belongs to the H/ACA class of snoRNAs which are thought to guide the sites of modification of uridines to pseudouridines, the target for this family is unknown.
Source: Rfam by way of RNAcentral